RNAcentral lists this ribosomal RNA (652 nucleotides) under uncultured archaeon. RNAcentral describes it as "bacterial SSU rRNA". It matches the Rfam family "Archaeal small subunit ribosomal RNA", at positions 156 to 809 of the family's 1478-position model. The record is from RNAcentral.
GGCNUGAGGUACUGGAAGGUCCUCAGGCCGAAAGGGGCUCUGCCCGCCCGAGGAUGGGCCGGCGGCCGAUUAGGUAGUUGGUGGGGUAACGGCCCACCAAGCCGAAGAUCGGUACGGGCCAUGAGAGUGGGAGCCCGGAGAUGGACACUGAGACACGGGUCCAGGCCCUACGGGGCGCAGCAGGCGCGAAACCUCCGCAAUGCGGGCAACCGCGACGGGGGGACCCCCAGUGCCGUGGCAACGCCACGGCUUUUCCGGAGUGUAAAAAGCUCCGGGAAUAAGGGCUGGGCAAGGCCGGUGGCAGCCGCCGCGGUAAUACCGGCGGCCCGAGUGGUGGCCGCUAUUAUUGGGCCUAAAGCGUCCGUAGCCGGGCCCGUAAGUCCCUGGCGAAAUCCCACGGCUCAACCGUGGGGCUUGCUGGGGAUACUGCGGGCCUUGGGACCGGGAGAGGCCGGGGGUACCCCUGGGGUAGGGGUGAAAUCCUAUAAUCCCAGGGGGACCGCCAGUGGCGAAGGCGCCCGGCUGGAACGGGUCCGACGGUGAGGGACGAAGGCCAGGGGAGCGAACCGGAUUAGAUACCCGGGUAGUCCUGGCUGUAAAGGAUGCGGGCUAGGUGUCGGGCGAGCUUCGAGCUCGCCCGGUGCCGAAGGGA